RNAcentral lists this ribosomal RNA (464 nucleotides) under uncultured Desulfuromonadaceae bacterium. RNAcentral describes it as "partial 16S ribosomal RNA". It matches the Rfam family "Bacterial small subunit ribosomal RNA", at positions 338 to 794 of the family's 1533-position model. The record is from RNAcentral. Lineage: Bacteria; Pseudomonadati; Thermodesulfobacteriota; Desulfuromonadia; Desulfuromonadales; Desulfuromonadaceae.
CCUACGGGUGGCAGCAGUGGGGAAUUUUGCGCAAUGGGGGCAACCCUGACGCAGCAACGCCGCGUGAGUGAUGAAGGCCUUCGGGUCGUAAAGCUCUGUCAGAGGGGAAGAAAUGCAGGUGGUGAACAACCAUUCUGUUUGACGGUACCCUCAAAGGAAGCACCGGCUAACUCCGUGCCAGCAGCCGCGGUAAUACGGAGCGUGCGAGCGUUGUUCGGAAUUAUUGGGCGUAAAGCGCGUGUAGGCGGUUUGUUAAGUCUGAGGGAAAAGCCCCGGGCUCAACCGGGGAAGUGCAUUGGAUACUGGCAGACUUGAGGACGGGAGAGGAGAGUGGAAUUCCCAGUGUAGGAGUAAAAUCCGUAGAUAUGGGGAGGAACACCGGUGGCGAGGGCGGCUCCCUGGACCGAUACUGACGCUGAGACGCGAAAGCGUGGGGAGCAAAAAGGAUUAGAUACCCUAGUAGU